CCUACGGGAGGCAGCAGUGGGGAAUUUUGGACAAUGGGCGCAAGCCUGAUCCAGCCAUGCCGCGUGAGUGAAGAAGGCCUUCGGGUUGUAAAGCUCUUUCGGCGGGGAAGAAAAGGUUCGUGCUAAUACCACGAACUAAUGACGGUACCCGAAGAAGAAGCACCGGCUAACUACGUGCCAGCAGCCGCGGUAAUACGUAGGGUGCAGGCGUUAAUCGGAAUUACUGGGCGUAAAGCGUGCGCAGGCGGUUUGUUAAGACAGAUGUGAAAUCCCCGGGCUUAACCUGGGAACUGCGUUUGUAACUGGCAAGCUAGAGUGUGGCAGAGGGGGGUGGAAUUCCAAGUGUAGCAGUGAAAUGCGUAGAUAUUUGGAGGAACACCGAUGGCGAAGGCAGCCCCCUGGGCUAACACUGACGCUCAUGCACGAAAGCGUGGGGAGCAAACAGGAUUAGAUACCCUGGUAGUCCACGCCCUAAACUAUGUCAACUGGUUGUCGGGGAAGCAAUUCCUUGGUAACGAAGCUAACGCGUGAAGUUGACCGCCUGGGGAGUACGGCCGCAAGGUUAAACUCAAAGGAUUGACG
RNAcentral lists this ribosomal RNA (582 nucleotides) under uncultured bacterium. RNAcentral describes it as "bacterial SSU rRNA". It matches the Rfam family "Bacterial small subunit ribosomal RNA", at positions 338 to 915 of the family's 1533-position model. The record is from RNAcentral.